This is a long non-coding RNA of Callithrix jacchus (white-tufted-ear marmoset), 2896 nucleotides long. Lineage: Eukaryota; Metazoa; Chordata; Mammalia; Primates; Cebidae. The record is from Ensembl.
UCUUAGUCUCGCUAACUCCUCCGAAGAUUGGGGAAAGAGGUCCUGGAGGCGAGGUUACCAUUGCAAUAAAUAUCGUGGACCCAAAGAGUUUUGCAGAAAAGUGAUUUAUUAGAGAGAGAAGAAAGACAGCUCCUACGCUAUCAUUCCAGGAGACCUAGAGAAGGUAAGGAGCAGCUGAAUUUUAACCCUUGAGUUAUUCCUGCCCUUUCAUGUUCUUGUCCAAUGAGAGGAGUUCUUUCAACUGCCUCUGGAGUGAUUGAUCUUUGACUCUGACAUUGGAUUGGCUACUUGGUCCACGACUGAGAGUUACAGAGCCCCCUCCUCCCGGAGCUUUCCACGGGUUUCUUGGGACAAUAGAGCCCACCUGGCUUUCCCCAGCUAGCGGGCAAGUGGAGAAACCCAGACAAAGAACUUUACAUUUGAAACCCCUCUGCUUCCUAGAUGAAGACGUGGAGGCUGGGAAACUCCUGCCUUUGAAACCAAGCCUCUUGGACCCAGGAAGAGUCUGGUUCCCGGAUGGAGGCAUGGAGCCAUGGAGAAGUCCCUGUAGGUACAGUAGACCCUUGAACAACAUGGGUUUGAACAUCGUGGGUUCGAUUAUAGUCAGAUUUUCCUCUGCCUCAGCUACCCCUGAGACAAUAAGACCAAUCCCUCCUCUUCUUCCUCCUCGGUUUCUUCAACAUGAAGAUGACAAAGAUGAAGACCUUUAUGAUGAUUCGUUACCACUUAAUGAACGAAAUUAACAAGUUGAUCCUCAAGAAAAUGUGAAGUAACAAGAGACUCCAAAAAAUCAAAACAAUAUUGAUAAAGAACAAAGAGAACAUACAUAUCCUGAUUUCAAAACGUACUGUAAGACUUCUGUAAUAAAGUCAGUGUGGUACUGGCAUAAAGACGACAUAUACAUCAAUCAAAGAGAAAUGAGGGUCCAGAACUGAAACACUUUUUUUUUUUUUUUCUGAGAUGGAGUUUCGCUCUUGUUGCCCUGACUGGAGUGCAAUGGCGUAAUCUCCGCUCACCGCAACAUCUGCCUUCCAGGUUCAAGCGAUUCUCCUGCCUCAGCCUCCCAAGUAACUGGGAUUACAGGCAUGCGCGACCACGCCCAGCUAAUUUUGUAUUUUUAGUAGAGACGAGGUUUCUCCAUGUUGGUCAAUCCCUACUUUUACUGGCAACUGACUUCAAAAGUAGUGCUGAGACAAUUCAAUGUAGAAGGAACGCUUUUCAGUAACUACUACUGAGGCAAUGGGAUAUUCACAUGCCAAAGAAUAAAGUUGUAUAUCAAUCUCAACCCUGUAUAAAAGUUGACUCAAAAUGAAUUAAUGAAUGAAAAAAAUUCUAAAACUAUAAAAAUCUUAAAACAGAUAUAUGUCUUUGUGACCCUGGAUUAGCUAAUAGUAUUUUAGAUAUGACACUCAAAGCACAGAAACAAAAGAAAAAAGAUAAAUUGGACUUCAUCAAAACUAAAAACUUUAAGCAUAAAAGGACACUAUUGAGAAAUUGAAAAGACAAUCCACAGAAUGAAGAAAAACACUUGCAAAUAUAUAUAUAUAUAUAUAUAUAUUUCAUGUUCAUGAUUUUUUCUCUCCCCACUUGAGAAAUAUUCUUUAAAAUUUUUGAUCAUUUUUAUUGACUAUAUAUCAAUGUGAGUAAUACCUCAAUAAAAAUGUUUAUAUCAAAAAUUCACAGAAGGAGGGAAGGAGUUCACGUAUUUCAUAUACUAUGAAAUCUACCCAUUUAAAACAUGCAACACAAUGAUUUUUUAGUAUAUUUGCAGAACCAUGGAACCAUAACAUCUCUAAUUUUAGAAAAUCUUUGUUUUUCCUAAAGGAAACACUUGUAUCCAUUAUCAGUCAUUCCCCAACUGCCCACACUACUUUUCCAACCCUACUAAUCUACUUUUUGUGUUUUUUCUGAAAAAAAAAAAAAUUAUAUAUAUAUAACAAGAAUUUGAAUGAAUAUAUAUAUUUGACAGUUUAGUAUACAGAAUAUAUAAAUGACUUACAAAUCAUCAAUAAAAAAUUCAAUUUUAAAAUGAGUAAAUGCUUUAAACAGACAUUUCUACAAAGAAAUAUACAAAAGAACAAUAACCAAAUGAAAUACACUCAGCAUCAUUACUUCUUAGGGAAAUGCAAAUCCACACCACAAUGAGAUACCAGUUCACCCUCACUAGGAUGGCUGUAAUUUUUAAGAAAGAAAAACAAGCAGUUUUGUUAGAGACAUGGAGAAAUUAGGAUUCUUAUACAUUGCUGGUUCCCAGAACAUUGGAAAACUGAGGCAGUUGCUUUGGAAAACAGUUUGAUAGUUCCUCAGAAAGUUAAACACAGUUAUCACAUGAUCCAGCAAUUCCACCUUAAGGUAUUUACCUGAGAACUAAAAACAUACGUUCACACAAAAAAUAUAUGCAAAUGUUCACAGUAGCAUUACUCGUAAAAGCCUAAAAGUGGAAACAACCCAAAUGUCCAUCAACUGAUAAAUGGAUAAAUAAAAUACGGUAUAUUCAUACAAUGGAAUAAUAGCCACAGAAAGAAUGAAGUACUGACAUGCUACAACAUGAAUGAACAUUGAAAAUUUCAAGUGAAAGGAGCCCAUCACAAAAGGCCAUAUAGUAUAUUAGUCCAUUUAUAUAAAAUAUCCAGAAUAGAGGAAUCAGGAAAAAAGACUGAAAGUAGAUUAGUAGGGUUGGGUAAAUUGGUUGGGGAGUUGGGGAAUGAGUGAUAAUGGAUACAAGUGCUUCUUUCAGGAAAAAUGAAAAAUUUCCAAAAUUAGAGUUUUGUUAUGGUUCCACAAGUCUGGGAAUAUAUUAAAAGUCAAUGAGUUGUAUGCUUUAAAUGGGUGAAUAUCAUAGCAUAUGAAAUAUAUGAACUCCUUCCCUUUCAUGAAUUAAUUGCUUUGAUAGAAC